RNAcentral lists this ribosomal RNA (263 nucleotides) under uncultured bacterium. RNAcentral's name for it is "partial small subunit ribosomal RNA". It matches the Rfam family "Bacterial small subunit ribosomal RNA", at positions 26 to 287 of the family's 1533-position model. The record is from RNAcentral.
AGGACGAACGCUGGCGGCGUGGAUUAGGCAUGCAAGUCGAACGACGGUAAGGGCUUGCCCUUAUACGGAGUGGCGAACGGGUGAGUAACACGUGAACAAUCUGUCCUUACGUUCCGAAUAAUUGACCGAAAGGUCUUGUAAUGCGGGCGAGGAUGGCGGGGGGGCAUCCCCUUGUCAGGGAACGCGCAAGUGGCGCAAGGAGGAGUUCGCGGCCUAUCAGGUAGUAGGUGGGGUAAUGGCCUACCUAGCCGACGACGGGUAGC